RNAcentral lists this ribosomal RNA (408 nucleotides) under uncultured prokaryote. Its description in RNAcentral is "partial 16S ribosomal RNA". The record is from RNAcentral.
CCCUAUGGGGUGCUGAUGGAUGAACCGACUUCUGCGCUCGAUCCCAUUUCCACGGGCCGCAUUGAGGAGCUGAUUGCGGAGCUGAAGAGCGAGUACACCAUCAUCAUCGUGACGCACAACAUGCAGCAGGCCGCGCGCGUCUCCGACAGCACGGCGUUCUUCCUCCUCGGCGACAUGAUCGAGAUGGGCAAGACCGAGCAGAUCUUCAAGCUGCCCGUCGACAAGCGCACCGAAGAUUACAUCACCGGCCGGUUCGGCUGAUACGAGAUACGCCUUUAUUGGAGGCUCCGCCUCCAAACCACCGCUUAAGGGGCAUUGCCCCUUAAUAAUCCCAUCGUGCGAAACGCCCUUUCAGGGCAUUUCGCGGAAAUGGGAUUCCAAAGGGACGGAUCCCUUUGGCGGGGGGGC